RNAcentral lists this ribosomal RNA (231 nucleotides) under Acinetobacter baumannii. Its description in RNAcentral is "partial 16S ribosomal RNA". It matches the Rfam family "Bacterial small subunit ribosomal RNA", at positions 1 to 235 of the family's 1533-position model. The record is from RNAcentral. Lineage: Bacteria; Pseudomonadati; Pseudomonadota; Gammaproteobacteria; Moraxellales; Moraxellaceae.
AACUGAAGAGUUUGAUCAUGGCUCAGAUUGAACGCUGGCGGCAGGCUUAACACAUGCAAGUCGAGCGGGGGAAGGUAGCUUGCUACUGGACCUAGCGGCGGACGGGUGAGUAAUGCUUAGGAAUCUGCCUAUUAGUGGGGGACAACAUCUCGAAAGGGAUGCUAAUACCGCAUACGUCCUACGGGAGAAAGCAGGGGAUCUUCGGACCUUGCGCUAAUAGAUGAGCCUAAG